AUACAUUUAAGAUCAACUUUGUGAGUAUAUUUUUCUUCAUUUAUCUUUAUUUGUAGUAAUUUUUUUGGAACAACUCUUCACCAUUCCUAGCCUAUUAUUUUCAGUCUUCCUUCUCCCUAUUAUUCACAUUAUCGUCUCAUCCAUAUUCUUCAUACUUAAGUACAUUAAUUCUCGCAGAUUAAAAUUUGGGAGGUGAAAGAAAAAACGGAAAGAAUGUUUAAGCUGAUUAACGCUGAUCAAGUACCAGGUUUCGUCAAAGAAGAUCGGUCCAGUGAGGAUUUCAGCAGAGAAAGCAUACCAGAAAAUAAACCUCGGAUAUUUAGAGCUGAGCCAGAUUCAACAACUUUGGAGAUAGAUUAUAUUAAACCUGAUGUUUUGAACGAGAUAAGAAUUCAAGCUUACAAACAAAAGGAAGACGGCGCGUACUCUGAACCUUGGAGGCUGAAGGUUUUCAAAGAGUUCGGACAUAACGCGGUCGGACAAAGACAUAUGGACGAGUGUAUACUAACUGUCACCACUCAAACUAGGGCAAUGGGUGGACCUUUACCUCACAUAUACAAUAGUCACUUAUAGUAGACAAAACAUCAAAUAUUUUAUCCGUCUAAAUGUGUUGUGAUCUUUUUCUUUAUAAGCAAAGCUAACAUUUUCAUUUUGGAUUACUUACAGUACUAAUUUUAUUUGUUUAUUAACGAUUUGUUAAAGAAGGUUUUAUUUAUGUAAAUGUGGUUUUAUAUGACUUUCGUCGUUUCUUCUCUUUAGCCUUAUGGAAAAUAUUAUGGAAAAUAUGGCAACGCAUGUAGUAUACCAUAAUAGGGCGAAAAAUAAAAUAUUAUUAUUUUGUGUUUUUGUUUAAAUUUAAUUGCUUAAGGAAUAAAUAAAAUAAUAGUUUGUAAAUUCAUUUUAUUUAUUAAAAUAUAAAUUACAUAAAAUGAG
Long non-coding RNA from Vanessa tameamea, 933 nucleotides. RefSeq lists it as uncharacterized. The transcript is spliced from 2 exons. Lineage: Eukaryota; Metazoa; Arthropoda; Insecta; Lepidoptera; Nymphalidae. The record is from RefSeq and is a predicted model, not a curated record.